This is a long non-coding RNA of Drosophila simulans, 2824 nucleotides long. RefSeq lists it as uncharacterized. The transcript is spliced from 2 exons. Lineage: Eukaryota; Metazoa; Arthropoda; Insecta; Diptera; Drosophilidae. The record is from RefSeq and is a predicted model, not a curated record.
AGGGGACUCCUCCACACUAUGAGUGGAAACUUCCGACCGGUUUCAUCGUCGUUUUUACAUCGGUACUUACUGCAUACCUGUGCAGCCGUAAGCGGAGUAGAGUGAAGUACAACUCUUCUUGAAUCGUUGGCCCCACCAUCAGGAUAUCAUUUAAGGUCGACUAGGACGCUGUUUUGCAGAAGGUAUCGAACACGACGGAAAGGGAGGCAGACUUAACAAACUCGAACUUUUGAUCGCAGAGAGACGCCCAAACGUGCUAAAGUUUCGUAGUAAAUGAUCUUCUGCAUUGCGAAAGCUACAAGUUUGCUGAGGCUUGCUGUUGGAGGACGAACACGAAAAUGAGCUACGAUGUGACUUCCUUGACAAUAAUUUGGAAUGCGACUCUGCAGCUGAUAAAUAAUGAUAUCGGCGAUUGAACAUUUUUUCGAAAUCGGACCAAUGCGGCAAAGUCUCAUAAUCGAGCUGUUCCUCAUAUUUUCGUUUGGUCACUGUGUUGACUCUAUUCAAUACCAAAUAAAUCAACAUUGCAUUCGAAAUUCCUAUCAAAAACAGAGAACCAUAAAUCGACAAAAGAGUUCCGAUAAGGUUUCUCAAGGAGGAUGCGGACUGUUGCGAUGUUUUCGGAAGACUAAACAAUGUUGAAAUAUUAUUCGUAAAGAUUAGGCAUUCGUUAUCGUAAGCCUUUUUUGAACUGGUCAGUGCCUUUUCGUAAUUUCUCUCAGUGACUUGUUCCAAAAAGGCUUAUGAAAUUUUCGAGUUGGCGCUACAUAAGCUGAUCCAGGAGUUUCGCUUAUACUUGCUGUCUUUAAAACAGACAACAUCGAAAAUAACUUAAAUUGCCAAACUUGCGUAAUCACAUGGAAGAUAAGGACAGCAAUAACAUUUCGAGUAGCUUUAGAGAAAAGCACGUGAAAGAAGAGCACAAGUAUACUACAUCGAAAGCUUGUAUAGACUCUCGCGAUUCUGAGCAAUUGUAACAAGGGAACACAGUAAGCAGAAAUUAAAAAUAUACAAUAGCUGGACUUGGAAGUUUAGAAACUUUUGACUUGACGUAUCCAGCCAAGUGGACAUCGUAUUUAGAGCGUUUCAACUUGUUCCUGCUGGCAAAUGAGGUCAAGGACGAAGAGCAAAAAAUGGUUUGUGGAUUUCCUAACUCUGGCCGGCGGUCCGCUGUAUGGCUUUUUUACAUCAUUGGCCUCACCAACUACAGUGAGUAAGCUGGAGUUAAGCGAAGUCUCAUCUCGAGACUGUUUGCCACUCAUGCGGCAUAAAAGGCUAUUUACAACGCGUCUGUCUGAAUCGCCUAGGGACAACGUAGUACGUAUCAUUUUACAUUCCCAGGGAAUUCGCAAUUCAUAAUAUACUGCCGUUGACAAACCAAAAGAGGUCCAUAUCUAACAUUAUAAACGGCUGCACCUGUGUGUAUUCAUUCAAAGUAGAUUCGGGGUCUCCAGUGACUAUUAUGAAGGAAUCAACAUUCCACUAUAUCUGGCCCAACGGAAGGGCAUACCUUAAUAGAUGCGAUUUGGAGUGAAACGAUUUUCAGAAGAAUCAAAAUCUAUUGCAUGGAGUCAUCUAUGUUUCUAUUUGCUGCAAUCAAAAACAUAUCGGAAAUCUGCCACUGGUUAUUGUUGAAGGUGGCGGCUCAUAGUUGCUAGGGUGCAACUGGUUUUAGGCACUCGGUAAAAAUAACAAUUACAAAACACACAAGUCAACACUUGCUGAGCCUUUACAUCGGUUACUUUACAAAACUACUAAUUGGACCUAGUAGCGCCAACUUGAGGACGUUUUCUUUGCGCUAAAGGAACUAAUUACUUCCGACAAUUUGAUAGUUCCCUAUGAUUGCAAGUCGCCGUUAAUGUAUGAAUCAGAAACUAUGCUGCAGGUCCCAAUUGGAAGAGGAUGGGUUGCGACCCAAACCGGACCCAUUUCGUACAAUCUUCGUUUUUUCCGACCAUCGCACUUCGUAGUCGACAGACGUCAUUACAGAGCAGCGGCAAUGCGAACACAAUCGAGGACUUCGAAUACCUCUGGAACCAUGAUCCAUUUUCCGAAACCAUCGAAGAACCCGACCCUGACCACCCAUCUACUCCAGCUGCUUCGGAGACAGUACCACCUAGUGAUCAACUAUCAGUGCAACCGCCGGUAGCCGCGCUACGUAGAUCCAAGCGUAGCAUACAACAUCCGGAAGUAUAUGAUCCAUCCGGGUGUUAACGAGUGUUGUGUAUGUUCAAAGUAUCGCGCCCAAAUUAGUUAGAGCUGUAAACACACGGCAUUGUCAGAUCAACAUUUGAUCACCGAUAGAAUAUCCUCGGUCGAGUACUCAGCACGUCAGGCGACUCGUCCACCGCGCAUCAAGCUGCCGAAAAUAUGACGUUAUCAUCCUGUAACUAGUUCGUAUAAUAAGCCAGUGAAGUGGGUUCACAACUUACACGAUUAAGAAUAUUUAGUUCAAAACUUCUAAAGCACGACAGCUUUGGUAAUGUAAACUGCAAAAUUUUAAUGGACAUAAAAACUUCUGUACUUUCUAGAAAUAUCGUAAGCUGUAUUACAUGUAAUACAUUUAACCUAAUAUACUAUAAGUAGUUGGAAAAUGACUCGAGAAAAACUUUUGAAUUAAUCAAGAAUUUUUUAUUGAAAAUAACAAUGGUAGUAUUUAUUGUACAUCAACCAAUAUUAAAUAAUUUUCAUAAUUUCCAUAUAUUUAUUUAUUUAACAAAAUUAAAUAUAGUAUACAAUACUAAACCUAAUUAAAUUUAAUGAGUACUAGCUACGGGGUCCUUUGACUCGAGACUUAUGGGUUAAUUGCUUUAUAUAAUAAACU